Molecule: small RNA, 415 nt
Filed under: Oryza sativa Japonica Group (Japanese rice)
Lineage: Eukaryota; Viridiplantae; Streptophyta; Magnoliopsida; Poales; Poaceae
Description: sRNA Os03g0391850
Source: RNAcentral
UUAUUAAUAUCAAGCACCUUUAACGAAUGAGAGCAAAGAAUUCCAGCAAAUUCAAACUUCUUGCAACUGCAGUUUUACUUCUGGUGCGAAAAAUUUGACAACAUGCUCAUGAUGCUUGCCAUUAACUUUUAUUUUAUAAACCUUCUCUGCAUCGCUACUAGCACAAAAGAAUAUGUCGCAAUUCAAUGUCUGUAGCACUUGAUCCUGGAAAAUCUUGAACAUUGCUGCAGUAUAAACUCUUGAUGCAUGCCUCAAUAUAUUUAGUUCUGCCUUCAAUUUGGGAGUAGUUUGGGUUGCUUUGAAGUCACAUGCUUUCACUCCUCUGGGUACUACUCAUGUCAGCGGAAAAAGUAUUUCUUCCAUACACUAGUGCCCAAUGCUCUCUUUUGUCAAAUAGUCUUUCGAGCCAUUUAUU